GGGGAUAUGGCUCAGUGAUAGAGAAAUUGCCUAGCAUGCAUAAAGCCUGGGUUCAAUCCCCAGCAUCACAA
RNAcentral lists this transfer RNA (71 nucleotides) under Urocitellus parryii (Arctic ground squirrel). Its description in RNAcentral is "Spermophilus parryii (Arctic ground squirrel) tRNA". It matches the Rfam family "tRNA". From Rfam's summary of the family: Transfer RNA (tRNA) molecules are approximately 80 nucleotides in length. Their secondary structure includes four short double-helical elements and three loops (D, anti-codon, and T loops). Lineage: Eukaryota; Metazoa; Chordata; Mammalia; Rodentia; Sciuridae. RNAcentral also lists the same sequence under 2 other names. The record is from Rfam by way of RNAcentral.